UGCUAAGACUGGAUAGGAAAUAAAAAGGAAUCUUUUUAUUUUUAAAAGACCUUUUUCGGAAGGUAUGCUUGAAGAGGGGCUUGCGUCACAUUAGUUAGUUGGUAGGGUAAAGGCCUACCAAGACGAUGAUGUGUAGCUGGACUGAGAGGUUGAACAGCCACAUUGGGACUGAGACACGGCCCAAACUCCUACGGGAGGCAGCAGUAGGGAAUUUUCUGCAAUGGAGGAAACUCUGACCGAGCAACGCCGCGUGAACGACGAAGUACUUCGGUAUGUAAAGUUCUUUUAUUGAAGAAGAAACAAUAGUGGAAAAACUAUCUUGACGUUAUUCAAUGAAUAAGCCCCGGCUAACUAUGUGCCAGCAGCCGCGGUAAUACAUAGGGGGCGAGCGUUAUCCGGAAUUAUUGGGCGUAAAGGGUGCGUAAGCGGUUUAAUAAGUCUCUAGUUUAAUUUCAACGCUUAACGUUGUCCUGCUGGAGAAACUGUUUAACUAGAGUGAGAUAGAGGUAAGCGGAAUUCCAUGUGUAGCGGUAAAAUGUGUAAAUAUAUGGAGGAACACCAGAGGCGUAGGCGGCUUACUGGGUCUUUACUGACGCUGAUGCACGAAAGCGUGGGGAGCAAACAGGAUUAGAUACCCUGGUAGUCCACGCCGUAAACUAUGAGUACUAAGUGUUGGGGUUAAACUCGGUACUGAAGUUAACACAUUAAGUACUCCGCCUGAGUAGUACGUACGCAAGCAUGAAACUUAAAGGAAUUGACGGGAUCCCGCACAAGCGGUGGAUCAUGUUGUUUAAUUCGAAGAUACACGAAAAACCUUACCAGGUCUUGACAUACUCUGCAAAGCUAUAGAAAUAUAGUGGAGGUUAUCAGGGAUACAGGUGGUGCAUGGUUGUCGUCAGCUCGUGUCGUGAGAUGUUAGGUUAAGUUCUAAAACGAGCGCAACCCCUGUCGUUAAUUGCCAGCACGUUAUGGUGGGGACUUUAGCGAGACUGCCAAUGAAAAAUUGGAGGAAGGUGGGGAUUACGUCAAAUCAUCAUGCCCCUUAUGAUCUGGGCUACAAACGUGAUACAAUGGCUAUUACAAAGAGUAGCUGAAACGCGAGUUUUCGGCAAAUCUCAAAAAAAUAGUCUCAGUUCGGAUUGAAGUCUGCAACUCGACUUCAUGAAGUUGGAAUCGCUAGUAAUCGCGAAUCAGCAUGUCGCGGUGAAUACGUUGACGGGGUUUGUACACACCGCCCGUCAAA
This 1243-nucleotide ribosomal RNA is filed under the name Lethal yellowing phytoplasma. RNAcentral's name for it is "bacterial SSU rRNA". It matches the Rfam family "Bacterial small subunit ribosomal RNA", at positions 161 to 1401 of the family's 1533-position model. The record is from RNAcentral. Lineage: Bacteria; Bacillati; Mycoplasmatota; Mollicutes; Acholeplasmatales; Acholeplasmataceae.